Molecule: long non-coding RNA, 1014 nt
Organism: Etheostoma spectabile (orangethroat darter)
Lineage: Eukaryota; Metazoa; Chordata; Actinopteri; Perciformes; Percidae
Exons: 2
Source: RefSeq, a predicted model, not a curated record
UUAUUCUCUUUACAAAUUCAAGUCGGACACACAUGUGUUUGCCAAAAAGGAUUUUCAAGUGUGGAACAUGAACAAAAGACAAAACGCUGAUGAAACAUAUUAUGAUUUUUACCACAAACCAAAGAUUAUUUAAAAACAAAAAAAUGAAUAUUCAUGCAAAAAAAUCCUAAAUUGUUACAGUGUAUUAUGUUAAAACAAGGCAUAGUGUAGUAUGCCAAAAAAAGUGAUGAAGUCAUAGUAUAGUUUGUUGAAAAUUGUCAUAGUAUAAGAUGUUGAAAAAAGUCAUUCAUAAGUCAUAGUAUAGUAUGGCAAAAAAAAAGUCAUACAAAAGUCAUAGUAUUAAAUGUAAAAAAAAAAACUUCAUAAAAAGGGCCUGCCCAGACUGGGAAUUGAACCUGGGUCAGAGUUACACUGACAACUUUAUAAUGUCAACAAAAAAAGUGAUAAAAGGUCAUUGUAUAAUGUGUUGAAAAAAGUAAUAAAAAGUUAAAGUAUUUUAUGUCGAAAAGAACAUCCUAAAAAUGCACUGACCAAACUGGCAAUCAAACCUGGGUCAGAGUCUGCAGUGACUACUCACUGGUUGCCUGUUGGAACAAUGCUAACCACUGAGCCAUUGUCCCUCCGAAGAAAUGAUGUUUAAAACAAUCACAGUAUAGUAUGUCAAAAGACAGUGAUAAAUAAAUCAUAGUAUAGCAUUUUGAAUAAUAAAUAGGCAGGUACACUUGGACAUGUGGCCAGAGGAGCUUGAAAUUGAUUCACCAACUUUGUGGUCAUGGGACAACCAUUCUACCCCUCAACCACAAGCCACCCAUUAUGGUAUGAGGAAAAAGUAAUAGUAUAGUAUGUCAAAUAAGACAUAGUACAGACAUAGUCAGGGACACUUUGACAUGUGGCCAGUGGAGCUUUGGAUUGAUCCAUGGACCUUGUGGUUUUGGGACAACCAUUCUACCUCCCAGCCACCCAGUAUGAUAUAUGGGAAAAAAGGUAAUAGUAUAGUAUGUUGAAAAAAGUGAU